UACGUAGGGGGCAAGCGUUGUCCGGAUUUAUUGGGCGUAAAGAGCGUGUAGGCGGCCAGAUAGGUCCGUUGUGAAAACUCGAGGCUCAACCUCGAGACGCCGAUGGAAACCAUUUGGCUAGAGUCCGGCGAAGAGGAGAGUGGAAUUCCUGGUGUAGCGGUGAAAUGCGCAGAUAUCAGGAAGAACACCCGUGGCUAAGGCGGCUCUCUAGUACGGUACUGACGCUGAGACGCGAAAGCGUGGGGAGCGAACAGG
Molecule: ribosomal RNA, 255 nt
Filed under: uncultured bacterium
Lineage: Bacteria
Description: partial 16S ribosomal RNA
Rfam family: Bacterial small subunit ribosomal RNA
Source: RNAcentral